UGCCUAAUACNUGCNAGUNGAACGCUUCUUUUUCCACCGGAGCUUGCUCCACCGGAAAAAGAGGAGUGGNGAACGGGUGAGUAACACGUGGGUAACCUGCCCAUCANAAGGGGAUAACACUUGGAAACNGGUGCUAAUACCGUAUAACNAUCGAAACCGCAUGGUUUUGAUUUGAAAGGCGCUUUCGGGUGUCGCUGAUGGAUGGACCCNCGGUGCAUUAGCUAGUUGGUGAGGUAACGGCUCACCAAGGCGACNAUGCAUAGCCGACCUGAGAGGGUGAUCGGCCACAUUGGGACUGAGACACGGCCCAAACUCCUACGGGAGGCAGCAGUAGGGAAUCUUCGGCAAUGGACGAAAGUCUGACCGAGCAACGCCGCGNGAGUGAANAAGGUUUUCGGAUCGUAAAACUCUGUUGUUAGAGAAGAAUANGGAUGAGAGUAACUGUUCAUCCCUUGACGGUAUCUAACCNGAAAGCCACGGCUAACUACGUGCCAGCAGCCGCGGUAAUACGUAGGUGGCAAGCGUUGUCCGGAUUUAUUGGGCGUAAAGCGAGCGCAGGCGGUUUCUUUAAGUCUGAUGUGAAAGCCCCCGGCUCAACCGGGGAGGGUCAUUGGAAACUGGGAGACUUGAGUGCAGAAGAGGAGAGUGGAAUUCCAUGUGUAGCGGUGAAAUGCGUAGAUAUAUGGAGGAACACCAGUGGCGAAAGGCGGCUCUCUGGUCUGUAACUGACGCUGAGGCUCGAAAGCGUGGGGAGCAAACAGGAUUAGAUACCCCUGGUAGUCCACGCCGUAAACGAUGAGUGCUAAGUGUUGGAGGGUUUCCGCCCCUUCAGUGCUGCAGCUAACGCAUUAAGCACUCCGCCUGGGGAGUACGACCGCAAGGUUGAAACUCAAAGGAAUUGACGGGGGCCCGCACAAGCGGUGGAGCAUGUGGUUUAAUUCGAAGCAACGCGAAGAACCUUACCAGGUCUUGACAUCCUUUGACCACUCUANANANANAGCUUCCCCUUCGGGGGCAAAGUGACAGGUGGUGCAUGGUUGUCGUCAGCUCGUGUCGUGAGAUGUUGGGUUAAGUCCCGCAACGAGCGCAACCCUUAUUGUUAGUUGCCAUCAUUUAGUUGGGCACUCUAGCAAGACUGCCGGUGACAAACCGGAGGAAGGUGGGGAUGACGUCAAAUCAUCAUGCCCCUUAUGACCUGGGCUACACACGUGCUACAAUGGGAAGUACAACGAGUCGCAAAGUCGCGAGGCUAAGCUAAUCUCUUAAAGCUUCUCUCAGUUCGGAUUGUAGGCUGCAACUCGCCUACAUGAAGCCGGAAUCGCUAGUAAUCGCGGAUCAGCACGCCGCGGUGAAUACGUUCCCGGGCCUUGUACACACCGCCCGUCACACCACGAGAGUUUGUAACACCCGAAGUCGGUGAGGUAACCUUUUGGAGCCAGCCGCCUAAG
Molecule: ribosomal RNA, 1448 nt
Filed under: bacterium 6/1/1
Lineage: Bacteria
Description: bacterial SSU rRNA
Rfam family: Bacterial small subunit ribosomal RNA
Source: RNAcentral